RNAcentral lists this long non-coding RNA (500 nucleotides) under Citrus maxima (pomelo). Its description in RNAcentral is "long non-coding RNA (CMAX_LNC001785)". Lineage: Eukaryota; Viridiplantae; Streptophyta; Magnoliopsida; Sapindales; Rutaceae. The record is from RNAcentral.
UUAGUUUUAACGGCUAUGCUUCUUAACUUGAAACUCCUUGGAGGGAAAUGAAGUCUGGUGGGUCUUGUGGUACUCAGUUUGUGGGAACUGACACCAGACGCCGCAAUUGGCCGGAAAUUUUGGUGAGCAUGUGCGCUGGCCAUUGAUUUUAUUUUAUUUUAUUGUAUUUCUUUAUAAUCUUUUCACUAAUUUUAAUCGAGGAGUCUAAUGGUGUGGCUUUGUCUUGGUGGAGUAGUUUGGAGAGGCAAGGAAAUGAUUGGCUGAUAUUGAUUGAAUAUUUUGAGAAGGCCAAUAGUCAAAUGACGAGUGAUGUGUAGGGUCAGCUGCAUCUGAAUGAUGUACAAUAAUGUAUGUAUUGUCCUUGGGCCUUGGGUUGGGUACCUGAAGAAUCGAGAGUUCUUCGGGUCGGGUCACCAAUCCCAAUAGUAAACUAGUGGCCACGACUCAUGAAUGUACAAAUUCAUCAAUGCAAUGAUUUUCAGGAAGAUGCAUAUUUUUUU